GAUGAACGCUAGCUACAGGCUUAACACAUGCAAGUCGAGGGGUAACGAGAGGAAAGCUUGCUUUCCUUGUCGACGACCGGCGCGCGGGUGAGUAACGCGUAUCCAACCUGCCCCCAACUAAGGAAUAACCUUGCGAAAGUAAGACUAAUACCUUAUAAUUUCCUCAGAUGUCAUCUGACGAGGAAUAAAGAUUUAUCGGUUGUGGAUGGGGAUGCGUCUGAUUAGCUUGUUGGCGGGGUAACGGCCCACCAAGGCAACGAUCAGUAGGGGUUCUGAGAGGAAGGUCCCCCACAUUGGAACUGAGACACGGUCCAAACUCCUACGGGAGGCAGCAGUGAGGAAUAUUGGUCAAUGGGCGGAAGCCUGAACCAGCCAAGUAGCGUGCAGGAUGACGGCCCUAUGGGUUGUAAACUGCUUUUAUACAGGAAUAAAGUUAGCCACGUGUGGUUAUUUGUAGGUACUGUAUGAAUAAGGACCGGCUAAUUCCGUGCCAGCAGCCGCAGUAA
RNAcentral lists this ribosomal RNA (506 nucleotides) under uncultured bacterium. RNAcentral's name for it is "partial 16S ribosomal RNA". It matches the Rfam family "Bacterial small subunit ribosomal RNA", at positions 28 to 523 of the family's 1533-position model. The record is from RNAcentral.